GCUUGCUACCAGGCGUCGAGCGGCGGACGGGUGAGUAAUACUUAGGAAUCUACCUAGUAGUGGGGGAUAGCACGGGGAAACUCGUAUUAAUACCGAAUACGACCUACGGGAGAAAGGGGGCAGUUUACUGCUCUCGCUAUUAGAUGAGCCUAAGUCGGAUUAGCUAGAUGGUGGGGUAAAGGCCUACCAUGGCGACGAUCUGUAGCUGGUCUGAGAGGAUGAUCAGCCACACCGGGACUGAGACACGGCCCGGACUCCUACGGGAGGCAGCAGUGGGGAAUAUUGGACAAUGGGGGAAACCCUGAUCCAGCCAUGCCGCGUGUGUGAAGAAGGCCUUUUGGUUGUAAAGCACUUUAAGCAGUGAAGAAGACUCUUCGGUUAAUACCCGGAGACGAUGACAUUAGCUGCAGAAUAAGCACCGGCUAACUCUGUGCCAGCAGCCGCGGUAAUACAGAGGGUGCAAGCGUUAAUCGGAAUUACUGGGCGUAAAGCGAGCGUAGGUGGCUUGAUAAGUCAGAUGUGAAAUCCCCGGGCUUAACCUGGGAACUGCAUCUGAAACUGUUAGGCUAGAGUAGGUGAGAGGAAAGUAGAAUUUCAGGUGUAGCGGUGAAAUGCGUACAGAUCUGAAGGAAUACCGAUGGUGAAGGCAGCUUCCUGGCAUCAUACUGACACUGAGGCUCGAAAGCGUGGGUAGCAAACAGGAUGAGAUACCCUGGUAGUCCACGCUGUAAACGAUGUCUACUAGUCGUUGGGUCCCUUGAGGAGUUAGUGACGCAGCUAACGCAAUAAUUAGACCGCCUGGGGAGUACGGCCGCAAGGUUAAAACUCAAAUGAAUUGACGGGGGCCCGCACAAGCGGUGGAGCAUGUGGUGUAUUUUGAUGCAACGCGAAGAACCUUACAUGGUCUUGACAUUUCUAGAAUCCUGCAGAGAUGCGGGAGUGCGUUUGGGAACUAGAAUACAGGUGCUGCAUGGCUGUCUUCAGUU
RNAcentral lists this ribosomal RNA (986 nucleotides) under Psychrobacter nivimaris. RNAcentral describes it as "bacterial SSU rRNA". It matches the Rfam family "Bacterial small subunit ribosomal RNA", at positions 74 to 1060 of the family's 1533-position model. Lineage: Bacteria; Pseudomonadati; Pseudomonadota; Gammaproteobacteria; Moraxellales; Moraxellaceae. The record is from RNAcentral.